CAGCCGCCGCGGGAACACGGAGGGGGCUAGCGUUGUUCGGAAUUACUGGGCGUAAAGCGCACGUAGGCGGCUUGGUAAGUUAGAGGUGAAAGCCUGGAGCUCAACUCCAGAAUUGCCUUUAAGACUGCCGAGCUAGCAGGUGAGAGAGGUAAGUGGAAUUCCGAGUGUAGAGGUGAAAUUCGUAGAUAUUCGGAAGAACACCAGUGGCGAAGGCGGCUUACUGGCUCAUACUGGACGCUGAGGUGCGAAAGCGUGGGGAGCAAACAGGAUUAGAUACCCCGGUAGUCCCUGUCUCUUAUAC
Molecule: ribosomal RNA, 301 nt
Filed under: uncultured bacterium
Lineage: Bacteria
Description: partial 16S ribosomal RNA
Rfam family: Bacterial small subunit ribosomal RNA
Source: RNAcentral